GGUGGCUCAGUGGUAGAGCGCUUGCCUAGCAGGCAUGAAGCCCUGGGUUCGAUUCCUCAGCACCA
Molecule: transfer RNA, 65 nt
Filed under: Dipodomys ordii (Ord's kangaroo rat)
Lineage: Eukaryota; Metazoa; Chordata; Mammalia; Rodentia; Heteromyidae
Rfam family: tRNA
About the family: Transfer RNA (tRNA) molecules are approximately 80 nucleotides in length. Their secondary structure includes four short double-helical elements and three loops (D, anti-codon, and T loops).
Source: Rfam by way of RNAcentral